Molecule: microRNA precursor, 105 nt
Filed under: Oryza sativa Japonica Group (Japanese rice)
Lineage: Eukaryota; Viridiplantae; Streptophyta; Magnoliopsida; Poales; Poaceae
Description: pre miRNA mir-75
Rfam family: mir-75 microRNA precursor family
Source: RNAcentral
UUAUAUUGGUCAUGUAUGAUUUGGAGCUAGUAGUUGGCUUUACUAUUAAACUUGCUCCAAGUUUAAUAGUAAAGCCAACUACUAGCUCUAAAUCAUAGAUGACCA